Molecule: long non-coding RNA, 282 nt
Filed under: Elaeis guineensis (African oil palm)
Lineage: Eukaryota; Viridiplantae; Streptophyta; Magnoliopsida; Arecales; Arecaceae
Description: long non-coding RNA (EGUI_LNC023763)
Source: RNAcentral
AAGAAAUUAGGAUAAUUCUUCAAACUGGAGGUAGAGGCUAUCAAUUCGAAUAAAAUAGUGGGAGAAACCUUUUGAUUAAAGUCCAAAUCUUUAGGUUUAAUGAAUCAAUUACUAAUUAUGUUAUGAUUUUUUUUUGUGUAGAUAUGGCCACUUUUCUAUCACUCCGAUCAUUGUUGGACAAUAAAAAAUUGGUGGGAUUCAAUUUCGAUAGCUGGUAUCGAAAGUUGAAGAUAGUCCUAGAGCAUGAACGAAUCCUAUAUGUGAUAACGGAUCCUGCACCUG